Molecule: transfer RNA, 75 nt
Filed under: Pseudoflavonifractor phocaeensis
Lineage: Bacteria; Bacillati; Bacillota; Clostridia; Eubacteriales; Oscillospiraceae
Also listed under: 2 other names
Description: tRNA-Glu
Rfam family: tRNA
About the family: Transfer RNA (tRNA) molecules are approximately 80 nucleotides in length. Their secondary structure includes four short double-helical elements and three loops (D, anti-codon, and T loops).
Source: RNAcentral
GGCGCGUUGGUCAAGAGGUUAAGACACCGCCCUUUCACGGCGGUAACAUGGGUUCGAUUCCCAUACGCGUCACCA